CCUGAGUGAGUUGGAGUUUUUCAACUGCCAAUGGAUUCCUAAAGGGUUUUGUUUUGUUUUGGUUUUCCCUAGGAGGAGACUGGUGUUUCUGUUUGAACAUUGAAAAAAACCCAGUGGCAGGUGAAGGAGGAGAACAGUAUGAACUAUUCUGGGAAUGAAAUUGCAUGUGUCCUUCAAACUCAGGAGAAUAAUAACAAAAAAGAUGUUACUGCAAUGGAGGAAAGAACUCUUCUGCACCAUAUUUCCCUUAUUUUCCCACCUCAUUCAGAGAAGUAUUAUGAUACCAAGAAACCUAAGAAGUUACAAGUCUGAUGUACAGGAAAGAAAUGC
RNAcentral lists this long non-coding RNA (330 nucleotides) under Monodelphis domestica (gray short-tailed opossum). RNAcentral describes it as "lncRNA (ENSMODG00000045975.1)". The record is from RNAcentral. Lineage: Eukaryota; Metazoa; Chordata; Mammalia; Didelphimorphia; Didelphidae.